This 269-nucleotide long non-coding RNA is filed under the name Nicotiana benthamiana. RNAcentral's name for it is "long non-coding RNA (NBEN_LNC003389)". The record is from RNAcentral. Lineage: Eukaryota; Viridiplantae; Streptophyta; Magnoliopsida; Solanales; Solanaceae.
UUAUUGUUGCUUGAAGCUGCCGGUGAAUGAGAAGAUAUUUGUCUUCCGGAUAUAAUUCGGAUUCGCCGGAAUCCAUUGGAAGAGUGAUGAGUUUUUGCGAAUAAGAGAGGAAUGGAAACAAUUUAUACGGGUAAAUGAGUUGCAAAGAAUAUUUGGAUAUCGGCGACGGCGAUUGAAGUUGACAACAGUCAACGAGCGUAUAGCGGGCGGCUGAAUACAUUCCCGGCGGCAAAAUCGACGGAGGCAAUUACGGCAGCUGAGAAGCUUGC